Molecule: microRNA precursor, 204 nt
Filed under: Oryza meridionalis
Lineage: Eukaryota; Viridiplantae; Streptophyta; Magnoliopsida; Poales; Poaceae
Description: MIR812 microRNA precursor family
Rfam family: MIR812 microRNA precursor family
Source: Rfam by way of RNAcentral
AAAAAAACAAACCCUGAUUUCUAUGCCCAACGUUUGACUGUCCGUCUUAUUUAAAAAAAUUAUGAAAAAAACUAAAAAGACAAGUCACGCAUAAUAUAUUAAUCAUGUUUUAUCAUCUAACAACAAUGAAAAUACAAAUUAUAAAAAAUUUCAUAUAAGACGGACAAUUAAAAUUGGACACGGAAAUCUAGGGUUUGUCUUUUU